This 1028-nucleotide long non-coding RNA is filed under the name Marmota monax (woodchuck). Lineage: Eukaryota; Metazoa; Chordata; Mammalia; Rodentia; Sciuridae. The record is from RNAcentral.
CCUCUAUGCACAACCCUGCCUGAGGGGGACCGUCUGCUUUACAGAUGACAUGACAUGGUGGAGAAUGGACCUGAGCAGUGCUCCUUCCUCCUGCAUUCUAGCUUGCCUGCAAGAACGGAGACUCCUCAGGGUAAAGAGAGAGGUCUGCGUGAGAGGAUGACCAUGGGAUGCGAUGAGUGUAUCUGUUCCGUGUAGAGACAAGGCUCCAUCUGCACUGUGACAGUCUUAGGAUUUAAGGGAAACGCAGACUGGUCAAUCCCCAAGCUUAAAUUUAGCCCUUAGACCAGAUUUGCACACAUUCCUAUUCCUACCCCAGCCACAUUUUACUUAGGUGCCGGUGACAGUUCUGCAAUGGUGUGAAGGUUAUGCUUUAAAAUAAGUGUAAGAAUAUGUCACAAGUUUAUCUUUGGGCUGUGUAACUGUAUCUAGUGUCCAGUGUUCCUUAUGCAUUUUUUAGACAUUUCAAGAGAGGACCCCACUCUUAAUUUCAAAAACCUUGAUGCUAUUGUACAAUUUUCAUUUGGGGCUAUUAUCCUUGAAGUACAAAGUGGGGACAGCACCUGUUCUACUCCUUAGCCACAUGGGGACUUUUAUGGAGAAAUCCUAUUGAGGAGAGACCCGAGGCUUCAUUGCAAAUCAGAUCCUACAUGAGUCAUUAUUGAUUAUUAGCCAGUAGAGCACUGUAUUUGGGAUAAAAAUUUUUUUGAAGGAAAGGUAAAAACUUUUGUCUUUGAAUCUAUUAGAAACUAGUUACUGAGGGCCCUUGGGGCUUCUCGGAGCCGUUCUUAAUUUAUUCUUUCCAAGAUAUGUUGGCUGUGUUAACAUUGGUCAAUCAUCUUGCGUAGUAAAAUAGGCCACUGACCUGAAAUAAAGUGCUUAAAAUACGUAAAUUCCAUUAAAAAAAAGAAACCCCUAAGACAUUUCACUGUCUCCCCAGAGCUGAGUUCUGCAAAACUAAACCAAAAAUCAAGUCCUAUUCAAGUACAUCGAAGAUGUGGGUUUUUUUUUUUUUUUUUUUUUAAGGGAAA